UUUGGGCAGCAGGAUUGGCCGUUUCACACAUCCCAAUCAUUCCCAGAUGAUAUAGAUUUGGGGAUGGGCCAGCUCAGAGCCCUGAAUCUGGGCCUGAGUGGUGGCUGAGUCGGUCCGCCUGCCAGCUCUCCUUUAUCUGCACCACCAGGGGGAGCACUCCAGCACUGCUCAGACUAGGUCAUCCAAUGCCAUCACCAGCAGGUGGCAGGGUCAGCUCUCUUGCUCUCCUGCCCUCAGGGCCUGCUCACCCGCACCCGUGCCUCCAGAGCCAGUUCCCCUGUGCUGCCCAUUCAAGAUACAGGGUCUGCUCUCCCAAAAUGCAGCGCCUGAAACGGGCUGGGCAAGCUCUCCUGCACUUACACCUUUGGAACUAGCUCACUCAUGCCUUUGCCAUCAGGGUCAGGCUCCACGGUGCUGUCCAGAUGAGGGCUGGCUCACCUGUGCCCCUGCUACCAUGGUCAACUCUGUGGUGCUGUCCAGAUGACUCUACAUUCUGUCUCCUCUCCAUGCAAAUAUCUAACACUUCCUUUUUCUGUGUGAGGACACAGAAGAAUGAGAGGAGCAUCUCAAGCAGCUUCAUUGUGCUUGUAAAAUGAACCCCAUCUAACCUUCUCUGAGUGAGUGAGGACUUUCAAGAUUCUUCUUUUUGGAAGGACAGUUCUAAAGCUUUGAGGACAUCAAACACAGGCCUGGCAAGAGCUAAGUAGCCGGGGGUUAAGGGAUGCGUGACUCACCUGUGACUCCGGUUGAUGCACCUGUGACCAUGCCCUCUACCUAUCCUUUGUUAAGGGUGUUCUGGAGUCAGAGCAAGAUGGCAUCCAGCAAGAUCCUCCAGUGAACCUGCUCCACAGAUGUGCGCCAACUCAGACCUGCUGUUUUAUACACCAAACUGACUUCACAAAACUGAAUGCAAUGAAUCCUGCCUGCUGUUGGCCAAACAAAAUGAAAAUUUGCAUUGGGGAAGGGAUGCUGGGAGUCAAACCCAGGUCCGAAGGAAGAGUAGCCAGUGCUCUCAACCACCAAACCACUAAGCCAUCUCCCUAGCUACGCAGAUAUUCUUCAACUUCCUUUGUGCUCAGCUGUUAUGGAUUUAAAGCGAGACUCAUCAAGACAAUUAUGUGUUCUCUUCCCAUACUGUUGGGGAUGUGUGAUUUGGAGAAUAAAAGGGUUAGGUUUAGCCAGACUAAUUUUUUUUUUUUCUGAGAACAAAAGGUGAGGAGAGAGAAGCAAGGAUGUUAAAGCCACUUGCAAAAAGGGAUGUUUACUAAUGUUGGACCAGGACACUGACUGCGGCAGGGAAUGAGGUCAUUAAGUUAGGUAACACAUAUCCAACAGUUACUGCAGGGCCUGGCACAUUGUAAAGACUCAAGAAACAUGAGCUGUUACAACUAGAAGCAUCCAUUCCAAAUCUGGACAGAGUACGUCUAAUCCCUCAAAUGUCCUGACCAAACUAACUUCAGAACUGCACGCAGGCCUAGCACGUGCAAUUACAUUCCGUUCUUUAGGACGGAGUGAUGGCUUUGAAGAGAAAGCAAUACAUUUCCAAGAUGGGAAAAACAUUCAGGAACUGUUUAUGUAUUUUAGGAGGAGAUAACUGAAAAACUAUUUUGGCUUCCCCACCAUCCCCACCACCAGUAGCACCCAGAAAGGUCCUUGUUGCUUUUCAAAUCAAGAAUUUACCAAUAGCAUGUUCUUUGAUUCCAGUAGUAAAGAUAUCUCUUUGGAAUAUUGAAGCCUGAGAGUAUUGUGGUUUUCUCAGAAACGUGUAUCUCGUUUUGCAAAUCUUCCCUGACUUGAUUGACUUCAGUCACACAUUCAUGCAGAUACCCGGAGUGCUUUCUCAUCUGUGACCCGUAGCUUCCAAGUCCCAAGCUGUGGCCAACUAAUUGGAAACACGCAACCAAAUAGAGGAGUUCCAGCCAUGCAAGGGCACGUCCCACUUUCUUUAUGCUUAAGUAUUAUUAUUCAACGUUUUGGCUGAGGUAAAGCGUUUUUGUCUUGUUUGUGCUACAAAGAUGUGAACACGUAGAAUGUCACAAUCACGUUGGUUCCAAAGAGUGAAAUGUAGUGUCAAAAAUAGAACUAUGGAGCAAGGAGUCAACAGAGAGAAACUUCCACCUGCCAGGCCCAGGUCCCACUGAUAAAGGGUUGAGACAAACCCUCCGGAGUGAAGAGGAUGGUAGCUACGUUUCUGCACUGAGCUCUGGGUGAGUUGUAGCCGCUAAAUGGAGGAGACGUCUGGAAGAGAUGGCUAUGGGUUCAAGACCUUUUCUCAUUGCUUCUUCUUUACUAAGUUUUUAUUUUAAGUGGUGUGUGUGUGUGUGUGUGUGUGUGUGAGAGAGAGAGAGAGAGAGAGAGAGAGAGAGAGAGAGAGAGAGAGAGAGGGCUGUGUAAGCGUGGGAACUCCUUGAGGGCAGAAAAGAGUGUGGGAUCCUCUGGAGCUGGACUUCCAUCUCUGAGCUACCUGAUGUGGGUACUUGGAGCCAAAUCCAGGUCUUCUGCAAAAGCCGUGCACUGUGUUGUUGGCUUCUAAGCACAGGAGGCUGGAUUUCAUUAUCCGUGAAGUGAAUGUGAUCACUCUGAAUUUCCUCAACUCUAUCGUUCAUCUUUGACAUUUCUGCUCAUGAGCAUGCGUGUGAAAAUUAAUCUACUUGAAGAGGUAAUGGGGAAAGCAUUCUAAAAUUGAAGGUGUCUCAUAUAGGGAAUUGACUUAUAGUAAGUAACCACAUAGCCACCACUUAGAUCCUAGGACUGUCGUACAGAUGCUAUUUGUUUGAAUGAGGUAUUGUCUAAAGGCUGGUGACGUGACGCAGUAGCUAGAAUGUGCCUAACAUGCACAACAUCCCCUGACUGGUCCCCAGCACCACAUAAAACCUCUGGUGAUGCUGGCCUGUGAUCCCAGCACUUAGGAGGGAGGAACCAGAGGAUGAGAAGUUCAAGGUUGCCUUACUAUACAUUGAGUUUGAGGUCAACCUGGGCUACAAGAGACCCUUGCCACAAAAACAAAGUAACUGCAAAGUGAGAUGUUGCUUGAAAAGCAUUUGGGAGAGCAUCUGACCCUGGGGUGAGGUGAGGAGGAGGGCAGAGCUGCAGGCUCAGGAUGCCCCACUUCCCAGGCCCCAAGCUGCUAAAAUUUCCUUGUCUGAACACAGCUGAUAAAGGAGAGAGAGACAUCGCCAGCCAGGCCUGUGGAUUACCUCUUAUCUGUAACUUGUUAAAACCAGGCUCAGGGGUGUGCCUGUCCAUUGAGCUGUUUCCUACCCGCUUUUGUUGUUCUUGUUUAAUCCUUAAGAGACCUAUUUCAGUGCAAGGUCAUACCCUGGUCCCUCGGAUGGGCAUCUCUGCAGAGCCAUCUGGAACUAUGGUUUAUUUUCUGUUUAUGGCGAGUUAUUUAUUUCAAACCUUCAGUCUAACAGUUCCCAAGGUGAGUGUCAGAUAUACACCCCAAUCUCCCUAUGUGAUCUGCGUACUGAGCCCUCUCCAACAGGCUCCCCUGGCCACAAUUUUUUUCCUUUCACCUCAGACAUGCCACUAUAACAGGCUCUGGCACUCGAUGUUUCCCUGUCUGGAACACUGUCACCCUACCAGGCUUCUUUACACGCUUCCUCAGAUGUUCUCAUGUUCUCGUUAAAAUUCCUUCUCUGCAGGAGUGCAUCCUCUGACCAGCCCGCUUAAGUUGUAAUCUCCCAAUCGGCUCCCUGUCCCCACUUUAGCUUCCUCCCAUAGCCCCACAGCCACCUACCAUUCCAUUUUACCUAGUUUACUACUCAUUUCCUUGUGGUAUUCAGUUUUAUCCCCUGUGCCAGGAUCACGCUCAGGUACAUAUAAACAAUAAAUUCUUACUUCAAUAACUAUUAUUUAUAUUUUAAUAGUUUCUUCUUUUUGGUGGUCUUUGGGUAAGAAUAAUAAGUAAUAAACAAACAUUUAUUUAUUUAUUUAUUUAUUUAUUUAUUUAUCCAUGUAUUUGGGUGCACACACACACACAUGUCAUGAGAUGCAAUCCACUUUUGAAGGUCAGAGGACAACAGUGGGUUCUGAGGAUCGAACUCGGAUCAUCAGGUUUGGCAGCAAGCUCCUUUACUCACUGG
Non-coding RNA from Rattus norvegicus (Norway rat), 4088 nucleotides. Lineage: Eukaryota; Metazoa; Chordata; Mammalia; Rodentia; Muridae. The record is from RefSeq and is a predicted model, not a curated record.